GUGAACGCUAGCGGUAGGCCUAACACAUGCAAGUCGAACGGCAGCACAGUAAGAGCUUGCUCUUACGGGUGGCGAGUGGCGGACGGGUGAGGAAUACAUCGGAAUCUACUUUUUCGUGGGGGAUAACGUAGGGAAACUUACGCUAAUACCGCAUACGACCUACGGGUGAAAGCAGGGGAUCUUCGGACCUUGCGCGAUUGAAUGAGCCGAUGUCGGAUUAGCUAGUUGGCGGGGUAAAGGCCCACCAAGGCGACGAUCCGUAGCUGGUCUGAGAGGAUGAUCAGCCACACUGGAACUGAGACACGGUCCAGACUCCUACGGGAGGCAGCAGUGGGGAAUAUUGGACAAUGGGCGCAAGCCUGAUCCAGCCAUACCGCGUGGGUGAAGAAGGCCUUCGGGUUGUAAAGCCCUUUUGUUGGGAAAGAAAAGCAGCAGGUUAAUACCCCGCUGUUCUGACGGUACCCAAAGAAUAAGCACCGGCUAACUUCGUG
This 491-nucleotide ribosomal RNA is filed under the name uncultured bacterium. RNAcentral's name for it is "partial 16S ribosomal RNA". It matches the Rfam family "Bacterial small subunit ribosomal RNA", at positions 29 to 507 of the family's 1533-position model. The record is from RNAcentral.